GGAUUUGAGCGAUCUGGCUGUGACGUCUGUCACCCUUGUCAUUGUGUGGGCUGGUUUGGUUAAUCUGGCUGGGGAGGUGGGUGUCCUCUUUCUCUUUCACAGCACCAUGUGCAUCUCUGUUGAAGCUGUGUGCUUGGUGGAAGAGGAGGACCUUCCCCAAAAGGAUCAAGACAAGGGUACGUGAGUAGCUUCAUUUCCCUGCUGGAACCUCCAGACCAGCUCUCGAGGAUAGGAUUUACCAUGUGACACAGUAGUGGAGAAUUUGAACAAAAGUCUAUGUUGCUCAUCAUGGUAAUUCAGG
This is an unclassified non-coding RNA of Cavia aperea (Brazilian guinea pig), 301 nucleotides long. Its record names the gene 7SK. It matches the Rfam family "7SK RNA". Rfam says of the family: 7SK was discovered as an abundant small nuclear RNA in the mid-70s but a possible function has only recently been suggested. The record is from Ensembl. Lineage: Eukaryota; Metazoa; Chordata; Mammalia; Rodentia; Caviidae.